GCAGACCUGGUGUAGUUGGUUAUCACGUCAGUCUAACACACUGAAGGUCGCCGGUUCGAGUCCGGCGGUUUGUA
This 74-nucleotide transfer RNA is filed under the name Acidomyces richmondensis BFW. It matches the Rfam family "tRNA". Rfam says of the family: Transfer RNA (tRNA) molecules are approximately 80 nucleotides in length. The record is from Rfam by way of RNAcentral. Lineage: Eukaryota; Fungi; Ascomycota; Dothideomycetes; Mycosphaerellales; Teratosphaeriaceae.